AUUGAACGCUGGCGGCAGGCCUAACACAUGCAAGUCGAGCGGUAGAGAGGUGCUUGCAUCUCUUGAGAGGCGGCGGACGGGUGAGUAAUGCUAGGAAUCUGCCUAGUGGUGGGGGAUAACGUUCGGAAACGGACGCUAAUACCGCAUACGUCCUACGGGAGAAAGCGGGGAUCUUCGGACCUCGCGCCAUUAGAUUGAGCCUAGGUCGGAUUAGCUAGUUGGUGAGGUAAUGGCUCACCAAGGCGACGAUCCGUAACUGGUCUGAGAGGAUGAUCAGUCACACUGGAACCUGAGACACGGUCCAGACUCCUACGGGAGGCAGCAGUGGGGAAUAUUGGACAAUGGGCGAAAGCCUGAUCCAGCCAUGCCGCGUGUGUGAAGAAGGUCUUCGGAUUGUAAAGCACUUUAAGUUGGGAGGAAGGGUAGUAACCUAAUACGUUGCUACUUUGACGUUACCGACAGAAUAAGCACCGGCUAACUUCGUG
Molecule: ribosomal RNA, 485 nt
Filed under: uncultured bacterium
Lineage: Bacteria
Description: bacterial SSU rRNA
Rfam family: Bacterial small subunit ribosomal RNA
Source: RNAcentral